This 533-nucleotide long non-coding RNA is filed under the name Fragaria vesca (wild strawberry). RNAcentral describes it as "long non-coding RNA (FVES_LNC003533)". The record is from RNAcentral. Lineage: Eukaryota; Viridiplantae; Streptophyta; Magnoliopsida; Rosales; Rosaceae.
AUGAGAGCCAUACCAACUCCUUCAAACAGCGCCAUAAGUUCGCUAAACUGGACAGAGAGACAAACUUGGUAAAUACACCAAGGUUGCUGCCAUCAUGAUUACGAAAUAUGCCACCAAGACCAGUUCUUCCAGAAGUAGGAUCAAAUGUUGCAUCCACAUUAAGUUUGACAAAAGGUCUUUUCCAUUUGGUAACUCUAGGACUUCGUUGAGAGGAGUGAGCUAGAUGACAAAAACCAAGAGGACAAAUCAAAAUUAGCCACUCAUAGUGAUACUGUGAGUCCAAUGCGUUUACACGGGUAAAAGGUAAUUAUCUUUAAUUCAAAGUCUCAUAAUUUAAUUUAUAAAAAAUACUCAUUUAGUACUAAUUUGAAGAGCUGAUAGCCCAUUCCAAUAAAAAUCAUUUUUCAUUGCCCAUUUACACAAAUCUUAAGAAAAAGACAAUAUUGUCCAUCAUAAAUAUCAAACCUACCUCUCAUCUUUCUUAUUUACCCGAUCAGGCCUCUCUCUCUCUCUCUCNCNCUCNCUCUCUNNNN